RNAcentral lists this ribosomal RNA (497 nucleotides) under uncultured bacterium. Its description in RNAcentral is "partial 16S ribosomal RNA". It matches the Rfam family "Bacterial small subunit ribosomal RNA", at positions 28 to 507 of the family's 1533-position model. The record is from RNAcentral.
GAUGAACGCUGGCGGCGUGCCUAAUACAUGCAAGUCGAGCGAACGGACGAGAAGCUUGCUUCUCUGACGUUAGCGGCGGACGGGAGUGUAACACGUGGAUAACCUACCUAUAAGACUGGGAUAACUUCGGGAAACCGGAGCUAAUACCGGAUAAUAUUCUGAACCGCAUGGUUCAAAAGUGAAAGACGGCGUUGCUGUCACUUAUAGAUGGAUCCGCGCUGCAUUAGCUGGUUGGUAAGGUAACGGGUUAUCAAGGCAACGAGGCAUAGACGACCUGAGAGAGUGGUCGGCCACACGGGAGCUGGAACACGGUCCAUAGUACUGAGGGAGGCAGCAGUAGGGAAUCUGCCGCAGUGGGCGGAAGCAUGACGGAGCAACGCCGCGUCAGAGGUGAAGGUGUUCGGAUCGUAAAACUCUGUUACUAGGGAAGAACAGAUGUGUCAGUAACUGAGCACAUCGUGACGGUACCUAAUAAGAAAGCCACGGCUAACUACGUG